RNAcentral lists this long non-coding RNA (8557 nucleotides) under Homo sapiens (human). RNAcentral's name for it is "HSALNT0314172". Lineage: Eukaryota; Metazoa; Chordata; Mammalia; Primates; Hominidae. The record is from RNAcentral.
AAACCACUUAAACUUUAAGAGAUAAUUGGGAACUAUGAUGAGGGUGAUAAUAAAAGGAGAAAUCUUACAAAAAUUAACCUGGAUGUUAUGCUUGCUCUAAGACUAAGUCACUAGGGAAACAGAUUCAGUAUUAUCCAAUGGCUUAACCUUCCUUCCUUCCUUUUGUUCCCUUUUUGGUGGUGGCUGGGUUACAAAGAGUAGUGUCUUCUGCCCUGAAGGUAGCAGUAGUAUGGUGGGUGCCUAGAGGUCAAUUAUUGGUUUAGAAGAGAUUCAGGCUCUUAACUUCUACAUGUGCUUCCCAGGAGGGGGAACACUUUCUUUCUCAGCCCUGUGUGAGGACCUUGUUAGCCCAGAAAGUGUUCUCAGACCACUGGGUGCCCAUUCUCAGUGUUAGAAACAGGAAGACCCUGGUUUCCUGGCAGAAAUGGAUCCUACAGUUUUCUCUCCAUCAAACUUUAAGUCACAGUAAGACAGGACUCUGGAGUCACAGGCACAGCCAGGAGAGGUCAGCAUCCUUAUGCUGACUCCUGUUCCUGGACAUGGGUCUUAAGAUCCAAUAAACUAGACUUUCAUAUAAAAUCAUAAAAAUCACAGGCACAGUUCUUUUAAUUCACAUAGAUGCUUAGCAAAUGUUCUUGAUGGAUUAAAUGCAGUGGCCAGCAAUUUCAGGGGCACUUUUUGUAGCACUUCACAUGUUCCUACAAUGACAGCCUUUGGCUAUGUCAGAAACACCACAGCUAGAAAGUGUCUGACUGCAUACUUGGUCUAUUGUCUUUCUUUAAGGCAAAACUGACAGAGAUGUGUUGUGGGUCCAGUUCACUGUGCCUGGAAAUGAAGUGGUUUUGCUCCCCAUUCCUUUACUCACUCUAUACACAGGAAAUGAAAAUUACCCAUAACUUAGGGCAACUGCACUGGAGGCAUGACUAAUAAGUAAAUAUGGCCAAGACUGUAAGGGAAUGAGAAUAAGUUAUAAAUAAUAGAUCAGAAUUUGCACAUCCAAAUGAAUACCAUCUGAAUUGUCUUACCCCAUGGCUAUAUGCUUAUCCUAAUGUAGCAGAUAAUUUUGCUAAAAUAUUCAUCAGAAUGUCCUUUUGGAUACUGUUUUUCGAGCCAGUUUUACAAACCACUGAAGAAAACCAGUCUCAUUGCCUUUUAAUCAGUCCUUUAAUGCCAAAAGGGAAAAGGUAAACUUGUAAUUAAAUUUUGAAACCAUUAUACUGAUUCUAAGUGUGCACAAUGAUUUUACAUUGUCCUAGAUCAUAAAACCAGCACCUUGAAAAAAAUACUGAUUUCCUUUAUCAAAGUGGUUUGUAACUAUACUUUGAGACCUGGAAAUUUACUAUGUAAAAUGGGACCUGAAAUCUGUGCUAUUGGACUAAGCACUGUGCUGUCCAAUAUGGUAGCCAGUAACCACAUGUAGCUAUUGAGCAGUUGAUACGUGGCUCGUCUGAAUUGAGAUGUGCUGUAAACGUAAAUUACACACUGGAUUCAAAAGCUUCAUUGAUGAAAGAAUUACCUAAUAUCUUAAAAAGAUAUUAAAAGAUGAUCUGUUAUAGCACUUCUGGUAACUAAGCUCCUUAAGAUAUGAGUCCAAACCAAUCCCAGUUAAACAGAUUUCCAUGACAGAUUCAGUCAAAUUAAAGGGUGGAGUUGAGGAAGAGGUUCCAACUGACUUUUCUGAUGUGCUACAUUGUCUAUAUUGUAUAAUAACAAGUAAGCCAAGAAAAGAAAAUUAAAGAGGUGUAGUCACUUCAGGUAGGAAAAGAGAAAGAGCAAGUCAGUUGCUAACUGCUAGGAAACAAUUGCUCUUAUAACAGAAGAAAAAAAGACUUUCUUCUAUGCAGGACACUUUAAUAAAGAAAUAGUGUCGGGUAACUAAAGGUGGAUCUCACAAAAAGUGUCUCUUACAGCCAAGUUUGAGAAUUCAUACAAAGAUAAGCCUCUUCUAUUUCUCCUCUCUACUCUCAAACUUGCUUUUCUGAGUCUGGGUACUUAGGAUCUAAGUAACCACUGGCUAGCUACCUGAUAUCUAUCAGAAACCCAGGACUUGAGAAGACUGGGCUCAGGAGAGUUACCUUCUGAUAGGGUCUGGAAAGAUCCUGGGAAUAUACUCAGUAUGGGAAAAUGAAUGAGGCCAGGUGCAUGCUAAUUUGUAGGAUUCAUUUCUUUAAACCAUAGAGCAGAGUACAUACCAUUGUUUCCUAGCUACACUUUAUGUAUAUGUAUUAUUAAAAUCAUAUCAAAAUUAUUUCCUUUUCAGUUAUUUUUGAGGAUCCUCAGGAACACAUGAAGAAUUUCUACUAUGACACAAUAUCAAAGUAACCAUUAUCAUGUCAAGCAGCUUUUAUAAAGGACAGAGGAAGACAGAUACCAUUUAUCAAUGACUCAAUGUAUGUGUGUGAGAGAUACACACAUUUACACACAUACACAAAUAGACCUUUUUUCCCCCCCAAAUCUGAGGCAUGUAUGGGAGUUAAAUCAUUUUCAAACAAGAUUGAAAUGACCUUAUCAGAAAUUUCUAAAAACAGUUUGAGAAAGGGGGAACUAGAUAGAAAAGAAUCAGAAAUACAUGAGAGAAUGAACAGACCAUAAAAUGAUUAUUUUUAUUCAAAAUUUUCUCCUUUACUACUUUCCCUUGACCUACAAAUCUGCUCAUAUUUUCCCUAUCUAAAAAAAAAAACACUCUCAAAACCUAGUUUCACUCUUAAGCGACUUUCCUGUCUCAUCUCUCUUUUAACCACAAAAUUUCCUGAAAGAAUAAUCAAUACCAGGGGAAAAGGGCCCAUAAAUAUUUAUGAUAGUAAAUAUUUUAGGCUCUCUAGGCUAUAUAGUCUCUGUUGCAACUAUUCAACUCUGCCCUGUAGUGCAAAAGCAGCCAUAGUCAAUAUACAGAAACAUGGGUGUGGCUGUGUUCCAAAACCUUUAUUUAUGGGCAUUGACAUUUAAAAUUAGUAUAAUUUUCACAUAUCAUGAAAUAUUCUUCUCUUUGAGUUUUUUCAACCAUUAAAUAUGUAAAAACCAUUCUUAAUGCUUGCAGGCUGUACAAAAUCAGAUAGGGGAAUGGAGGUCGAUUUUGUUUUGGAUAUUAAUUUGCUAAACCCUGAUCUAUACCACUGCCUCUAUUCUUGUCUCCUUGAAAAUUAGCUUUUGUUUCCACCAUGCUGCUAAGAUUUGCUUUCUCAAAGAUCAUUAAUAUCCCACCAGUUGUGAGAUCUACUGUUUUUUUCUUGUACCCAAAUUCUUUGACCUCUCUGCUAUAUUUUACUACCUCUUGACAACCUCUUUUGUUUUAAUAUUCUUCUUUCUUUCACUACAUAAACGUAGAAUACCCCCAAGUUUCUAUCCUCAGCUCAGUCAAUUUCUUGUUUCUUUUUAUGCUAUCUUUUUUAUUAUCUCAUUUCCUGACAUAACUUUUACUGAUGCAUUUACAUAGAUGACUUCCAAAGCUGGACCUUCCACAUAUAUUUUUCUAAGAGUGCAAAUCUUAAAUUUAUUGCUAAACCUCUGCUGGAUGGCUUAUAACACCUAAAAUUUCAAAUAUUUAUUCUCAAUUUAUUAUUAAAUUUCUCUUUAUUGGCUUUUUCAAAUCCUUCUGACUUUCCUAUAUGCUAAUAACAUAACCGUUAUCUAAGUUCAAAAAAAUUUUUAACCUUUAAACUCUCUUCUAACCUCGAGAUUUAACAACUUCCAUUACUGUUCAUAACCAAUCAGCUUUGCAUUCAAUAAGUUUCCCUUACACCUGUUUCCUCGUUGCCUUCAAUACAGACACCACUUCAGUUCAAAAGCCUAUCUCAACUUCUCCCUCCCUGUGUAUGUCCUAACACAUGGCUAGAGAAGGUUAAUUACCUGCUUAAAACCCCAUUUCCUAUUAAUUGAUAAAUGUCAAACUCAGCCUGACAUUCAAGGUCGUCAACAAUUUGCUUCAAACUACCUCUCCAUGUUACUGUCCUCCCAACAACUCUUCAUUUAUAAUACAUGUUCAACUAUGCUGUGACUUUGAACUCUGGGAACUUAGUUUGUGGCUAGAAAAUUCAAUCCCAUAUUUCCUCUGUUGGAAUUUAUAUUUUCUUUUUGUUAUAAUGUCUGUGUAUCUAUCUUAUCUCCCAAGUUAGACAGUGAGUUUCUUAAGGGUUAGGACCAUGUUCUACUAAUUUUUAUAUCCUUCACAGGCCUAGCACAGUGCUCAUCUCAAUGAUUUUUGGAAAUAAGUGAGAUAUUAAAAAAAUGACAGUGACUUCUAUAUAGUAUACGUUUAUGAGCUAUUUGCUGAAUUCAUAAAAUCAUUAGGUAAUUAUUUUUGUGUCUCGUAAAUUUUAUUUCAUUUCACUAACAGUAGAAUGAAAUCUCUUGACCAAUAUUUUAUUUUAAAAGUAUCUGAUAACUUUUAAUUAUCAGACUGGCCUCACUUUUCCUAGACUUGCAACCUCAGGCAAACUGUGUAACUUUAUUAACACAUGUAAAAUGGAGGAUGCAAAUAAUAGUUUAUUUUCCUAUGUCCUAGAGAAGUUCUAAGGAUCAAAUGAAACUCUGUAUGUAAAUUUCUUGGGUGAAGUAUCAAACACAGGAAAAGUAAAAGUUAACUUCUUUUCUAUUUAGCUUAUUCAUCUUUUAUUUCCAGUGCUUAGUGUAGCAUCUGGGAGAUAUGCUCAAUAAAUAUUUGUUGAAUGAUUGAAAAAUCAUUCUUUUCUUAGAUUCCUUCAAAACAAUUAAAAAUAUAUUUCACUCACAAUGCCAAGCAUUUUUAGCAGAAAAGAAAAACCAAAACAAAACACAAAACCCCCAAACUCUCAUCAAAUCGUUGAACAAUAAAACAUCCAGAAACAUAAUGAAACAAUAAUCUCAGUUUGCUUCUUGAUAACAUCUGCACAUAACACAUAUAUUUUUUAGGAUUGUACCUUGCUGGUAUUGUUGUGAUUACCAGAUAAUUUAUAAGAAGGCAAGUACCUCAUUAUCAUGAUAUGUCCGUUAGCACAAAAGCAUGCCAAGCAGGCACUGCUACACAUGACCACCACAUUUGCUUGCAGUAUAAAAGAUGUCUCCGUGAUGUUAUGAACAUAAAGGCAAGUCUGAGAAGGCAGUGAGAAGACUUUGGCUUGUUUUUCUGAGCAGAUUAUUGUAUACUGAUGAUCUCCUAUUUCUUGGGAUGCAGAAGAUGAGUUCAUUACCACUUUCCUUCUCCAAGAUUUUUCAUUUUCAUCUAUGUUGUUUGGAUCCCUCCAAACUUCAUAUGGCGGUUGCAUUAAUCCACCCAUUCGGUCCAUACAGGAGAAUGUUAGCACAGCUCCUUUCAAUGAGAGGAAUGUACCUAUAAAAACAAUUGGACAUCACUGACAUGUCAAAUUCAUUCUAAAGCAUCUAUAGGGAAUUAAAGUUUUACAUUGUGAUAAUUUAUACCUAUAGAGUCAUAAUAUUGCCCUAAUGUAUAUGAAUUUGUAGAUUUGUGAGCUCAUCUGUUAUAAUAAGUUGGAAUCAUAGAAUGUUAGGUCUAAAAGGAACUUAAGACGUCAACUGGUCAAACCCUCUCAUUAUAUUAAAAAAGAAGAAAAAACAGACCCAGAAAGAUUAUGAAAGUUGGGCCAGGUCACACAGCAAGUUAGGUCACAGCCUAGAUUAGAACUCAGAUUUUUCUGAUUCCUACCCCACGAUUCUUUCAUUAUACUAUAUAGUCCCCCUUAAAGUCCUUUUAUAAAAAAGAAAAUUUUAAAAAUGUACAUAUUUUAUUUAUUGAAAUAACUUCAACUGAAAAAUAAUCACACAAUCUUAUUUGAUUUUCUUAUUUCAUAGACUAAUUUGCUAGAAAAUGCUUGAUUUUUCUUCAAAAUCAAACAAGAAGAAAUUUCAAUAUCUGGAAUUCACGGUGGCAAUUUUAAUUGUAUGAAAAAGACAAAACAAUUACCUUCAGCUCUUAGGUAGGCUUUUGCAUCUUUACACAGAAAGGGGUUUUACUCACCUGGAUUCUCCAAGGUUGACAAUGUAUGCCAGAUUAUUGCCUAUAGGUGAUUUUCACCAGUCUUGGAGGACAAUAUACUAUAAAGCUUAGGAGGUAGUUUGGGCUCUAUUGAUCUUUGGAUAUUUCCAGAAUCUUCCCUAAGCAGUACCCUAUUAGCCCUUUCUUUCCUUUGUCCUUUUACAUCAUGCAGAGAAAGUAUGUUAGCUUAGACUGAUAAUGUCUCAAGGGUGUACAUGUGACAGAGACUUGAAAAGGGAAGGGUGACAGAUAAAAGUAUAUUCAUUUAGAAAGUACUUACAAAGUCCUUAAAAUUUAUCAAAUUGAAAAGAGUAUAUUGGGAUGAUCUAAUAUCUUAGUUGUGUUUUUAAAUCCACUUCAAAACUAAGAAAUCUAUAAAUGUAUAUAAGGGUAACGGCAGAGGCUAGGGGAGUAGAGGUUUAGGUGCUGCAGUUUAAGGGUUAAGGGAUAAAAGAACAUCUCUCCCAAUCUCCCAUGAAGGAAAAAUGCCAACAGCUCUGAAGAAUGAUUUAAUUAAAAUUAACCUAGGAUUGAUCCUGCUGUUCAGUAAAACCACAUUUUCCUAACUACCUGCCAUAGAAAGACUUUUCUAAGUAUAUCUUUUCAUCCUUGAUUUAGAGAUGGCUGACAGUAGGUUAAAAAGACAAGAAAUCCACAUUUUGAAAGCCAUUUUACUUAUACUCAUUGCAUACAAUCUUCAGCAUCAAAAUGAAUUUCUCAAUAAGCUGCCCUUGCCAAAACAGCUGCUUUGUUUCUUAAUUUUUAGUCAUAAAUGCUUUGAUUAUAUUCUGUUCAUUAGGUUUAUACAGGGUUUAAGUUUUCCAAACAAUGUAUUAUUAAUCGUUUAGAAUUCUUUCUUUAAUCUUUUCCAACUGGAAAAAACUCAAGUAAAUCUAAAUCAUAAGCAGCUACUACUUCAGAAAUACACUUACAAAGUAUGCUUAAACUUAUGGGCUUCAAUAAUAAGAUCUUAAUUAAUUAGGACUUUCCUCUUAAAGAAGAACUCACUGGCUAGGAGUGUACUUUACUCCAGCUUUCCCAAAUCACCAGCCUUGCCGACUACAACCUUCAUUCAAUCAAUACAUACAGUAUCAAGUACAUUCUAUGUGCUCUAGGCUCUAUUUUAGUCAUAGUCAAUAUAGUGGUGAAUAAAACAGACAAAAGUCCCUGCCUUCAUAAAACUUACUUUCUAGGGUAGAGAUAGAUAAUAUGUCUGAUAAAUAAGUAAUCAUAUGGGAUAUUAGAUAGUAAUGAGUACUAAGGAAAAAAAGCAGAAAAGAAGAUAGGAAUUCUUGAAAAAAGGUAGAUAAAUUUUAAAUAGUGUUAUAGACUGAAUGUUUGCAUCCCCUGCCAACCUCUUGUAAAAAAAAUCAUAUGUUAAAGCCCCAACCCCCACUAUGGAUCUAUUUGAAGAGGGAGCCUUUAAGGAAAUAAUUAAGAUUAAAUGAGAUCAUAAGGGUAUGGCUCUAAUCUGAUAGAAUUAGUGUCCUUUUAAAAAGAGAUACCAGAGUACAUGCUCUCUCUCUCUCUCCCCCUCCCUAUGUGUACACAAAGGAAAGGCCAUGUGAGCACACAGCAAGAAGGCAGCCAUCUGCAACCCAAAGGAAGAGACCUCACUAGACAUCUGCCCUGCUGGCACCUUGAACUUAGAGUUUCAGUCUCCAGAACUGUGAGAAAAUAAAUUUCUGCUGUUUAAGCCACUGAGUCUGUGGUAUUUCAUUAUGGCAGCCUGAGCAAACUAAUAAAGAAGGGAAGGCUUCUUUUCAUCAUCCUGUGGGAAUUAGGGUUCAGGAAACCAGCACAAAAUACUGAUAUUCUAUGACUGUUGUGAAUAAUAAAUUAUCCUUUGUCCCUGAGCCAGGAGUUUCAUGUCUUCUAUCAGCAUCGAAACUGGCAACCUAACUUUAUUAGCUUACAAGUAGAAUAAAAUCUCAGAUUCUUUAUAGGUCUUGACUUUCUAGAAUGCCAAGAAGAUUCAUAGGAGGUAAGAUCAGAGAGAUAAAGUAGAGCCACAUCAUGUUGGUUCUUUCAGGACAUGGUAAAGACCUAGACUUUUACUUGGCGUGAGAUGGAAGGAUUUUGAGAAUGGAAGUGAUGUAAUCUAACUUUCAUGUAACAGAAUCACCCUACCUCCUGGGUGUAUCCUAAAGGGAACCAAGGCUGGAAGCAGGGAGAGCAGUGAAGAGGUUAGUGUAUUAGUGUGCGUGAAAAAUGGAUAGAGGCUUGGUUGAACUGUGUGGUAAUAGUACAGAUGGUGAGCAAUGUCAGAAUCUGAGUGUAUUGUAAAGGUUGUGCCAGCAGGAUUUGUUAACAAAUUGGAUUUAGGGUAUGAAAGAAAUAUGGGGGUCAAGGGUGAUUCCAGUGUUUUUGACCUGAGAAACUGGAAGAAUGGAAUUGUCAUUAAUAGAUGUAGAAAAGUGUGAGAGGAAUGAGAGGAAUACCAGGAGCUCAGGUUUGAACAUGUUAAGUUUGGGAUACUUACUAAACAUCCAAAUGGAUAUCAAAUAGCUGGAUAUAUGUUAGGAAUUUGUGGAGAGGUCCAGACUAUAAAUAUAAAUGUAUGAUCCAUCAGACAUUUAAAGGCAUGAA